AGUUGGUGGAGUGAUUUGUCUGGUUAAUUCCGUUAACGAACGAGACCCCCGCCUGCUAAAUAGAUUGGUGAAUGGUUAUACCAUUGACUGAAUCUUCUUAGAGGGACUCCUCGUUUCAAACGAGGGGAAGCUGGGGGCAAUAACAGGU
This 148-nucleotide ribosomal RNA is filed under the name Stramenopiles sp. RNAcentral describes it as "partial small subunit ribosomal RNA". It matches the Rfam family "Eukaryotic small subunit ribosomal RNA", at positions 1296 to 1461 of the family's 1831-position model. The record is from RNAcentral.